RNAcentral lists this ribosomal RNA (465 nucleotides) under uncultured bacterium. RNAcentral describes it as "partial 16S ribosomal RNA". It matches the Rfam family "Bacterial small subunit ribosomal RNA", at positions 28 to 507 of the family's 1533-position model. The record is from RNAcentral.
GACGAACGCUGGCGGCGUGCUUAACACAUGCAAGUCGAACGGAAAGGCCCCUUUGGGGGUCCUCGAGUGGCGAACGGGUGAGUAACACGUGAGUAACCUGCCCUUGACUUCGGGAUAACUUCAGGAAACUGGGGCUAAUACCGGAUAGGAAUCCUUGCUGCAUGGUGGGGGUUGGAAAGCUUCGGCGGUUUUGGAUGGACUCGCGGCUUAUCGGCUUGUUGGGGGGGUAGUGGCUUACCAAGGCUUUGACGGGUAGACGGACUGAGAGGGCGACCGGCGACACUGGGACUGAGAGACGGCCCAGACUCCUACGGGAGGAAGCAGGGGGGAAUAUUGCACCAUGGGCGGAAGCCUGAUGCAGCAACGCCGCGGGCGGGAUGACGGCUUUCGUGUUGAAAACCGCUUUCAGCAGGGGCGAAGCUUGUGGUGACGGUACCUGCAGAAGAAGCACCGGCUAACUACGUG